UCGAGAAUCUUCCGCAAUGGGCGAAAGCCUGACGGAGCAAUGCCGCGUGCCGGAUGAAGGUCUUCGGAUUGUAAACGGCUGUCACCGGGAACGAACAAAAUGACGGUACCCGGGGAGGAAGCCACGGCUAACUACGUGCCAGCAGCCGCGGUAAUACGUAGGUGGCGAGCGUUAUUCGGAUUUAUUGGGCGUAAAGGGUCCGCAGGGGGCUAAUUAAGUCUGACGUGAAAUCUCACGGCUCAACCGUGAAACUGCGUUGGAAACUGAUUGGCUAGAGUAUCGGAGAGGUGAUUGGAAUUCCAGGUGUAGCGGUGGAAUGCGUAGAUAUCUGGAGGAACACCCAAAGCGAAGGCAGAUCACUGGACGAUUACUGACCCUCAGGGACGAAAGUAUGGGGAGC
This 400-nucleotide ribosomal RNA is filed under the name uncultured bacterium. RNAcentral describes it as "bacterial SSU rRNA". It matches the Rfam family "Bacterial small subunit ribosomal RNA", at positions 355 to 769 of the family's 1533-position model. The record is from RNAcentral.